UACAGAGACCUCAAACGUUAUCCGGAUUUAUUGGGCGUAAAGGGUCCGCAGGUGGUGUUGUAAGCUUAUGGUUAAAUCCAAGCGCUUAACGUUUGGACUGCCAUGAGGACUGCAACGCUAGAGGAUGGGAGAGGCAUACGGAAUUCUCGGUGUAGUCGUAAUAAGCGCUGAUAUCGAGAGGAACACCAAAGGCGAAGGCAGUAUGCUGGAACAUUCCUGACACUCAUGGACGAAAGCGUGGGGAGCAAAUAGG
This 253-nucleotide ribosomal RNA is filed under the name uncultured bacterium. Its description in RNAcentral is "partial 16S ribosomal RNA". It matches the Rfam family "Bacterial small subunit ribosomal RNA", at positions 524 to 776 of the family's 1533-position model. The record is from RNAcentral.